This 28-nucleotide non-coding RNA is filed under the name Bombyx mori (domestic silkworm). The record is from RNAcentral. Lineage: Eukaryota; Metazoa; Arthropoda; Insecta; Lepidoptera; Bombycidae.
UAAUGAAAUAAAUAACUAAGCACGAUGG